This 379-nucleotide unclassified non-coding RNA is filed under the name uncultured fungus. Its description in RNAcentral is "partial contains 5.8S ribosomal RNA and internal transcribed spacer 2". The stretch from base 1 to 133 matches the Rfam family "5.8S ribosomal RNA", at positions 22 to 154 of the family's 154-position model. Lineage: Eukaryota; Fungi. The record is from RNAcentral.
UGGUUCUCGCAACGAUGAAGAACGCAGCGAAAUGCGAUACGUAGUGUGAAUUGCAGAAUUCCGUGAAUCAUCGAAUCUUUGAACGCAUAUUGCACUCUAUGGAAUUCCGUAGAGUAUGCCUGAUUGAGAAUCACAACAUUCUCACUACCUUGUAGUGGAGUUUGGCGCGUCACUUUGCCAAAAGUGUGCUUUGCCGAAAUCCAAGUGUCUUUUGUGUAACUUUUGUUUAUCGACACCCAAUCCAAUGCGAUUAAGCUCAGUCGGGCUCACAUUGUGGUUUGGUUCGAGACUGAAAAGUGACUUUUUGAAAGGCAACCUCAAUUUAAAAGGGGCAACUCUUUUGUUAAUUGAUCUCAAGUUAGGCAAGAAAACCCGCUGA